GAUGAAGAACGUAGCGAAAUGCGAUAAGUAAUGUGAAUUGCAGAAUUCAGUGAAUCAUCGAAUCUUUGAACGCAUAUUGCGCUCUCUGGUAUUCCGGAGAGCAUGCUUGUUUGAGUAUCAGUAAACACCUCAACUGCCAUAUCUUUUUUGAAAUGGGAGUUGGACUUGAGUGAUCCCAACGCUUUUCCUCACCGAAAAGUGGCGGGUUACUUGAAAUGCAGGUGCAGCUGGACUUUUCUCUGAGCUAUAAGCAUAUCUAUUUAGUCUGCCUAAAAAACAGAUUAUUACCUUUGCUGCAGCUAACAUAAAGGAGAUUAGUUCUUGUGCUGACUGAUGCAGGAUUCACAAAGACAGGCUUCGGCCGACUUUGUAAACUCGAUCUCAAAUCAAGUAAGACUACCCGCUGAACUUAAGCAUAUCAAUAAGCGGAGGA
RNAcentral lists this unclassified non-coding RNA (433 nucleotides) under soil metagenome. Its description in RNAcentral is "partial contains 5.8S ribosomal RNA, internal transcribed spacer 2, and large subunit ribosomal RNA". The stretch from base 1 to 120 matches the Rfam family "5.8S ribosomal RNA", at positions 35 to 154 of the family's 154-position model. The record is from RNAcentral.